Molecule: long non-coding RNA, 1793 nt
Filed under: Sus scrofa (pig)
Lineage: Eukaryota; Metazoa; Chordata; Mammalia; Artiodactyla; Suidae
Description: lncRNA (ENSSSCG00015056733.1)
Source: RNAcentral
AUACAUAUCUCUCAAGAUAUAUAUAUGUAAUGUAUAUACACUGCAUAUAUAGGUAUGUAGUAUACGCAUGUAUAUAUGUAUGUGUGUAUAAUGUAUAUGUAUACACAUAUAUACACAUAUAUGUGUAUAUAUAUGUAUGUGUUUAUAUAUACACACACACAUACAUUGAAUUAGUUUAUUCCUUUUUACUACCUGGUCCUCUGCUUAAUUAUAGUUUCUGAAAAAUAGCAUCAGUAAUAUUAUUAAAUUCACCAGUUCAUUGGCUAAGUCAAAUAAUACAAGCUAUUUGAAGAAAAAAUUGUAUUUAAAAUGUGUAUUGUUAGUGUGGAUCAGAGGAUCAGACAGUUUUCUUCUCAGUAGAUUUCCCUAAAUACAGAGCUUUAGGAGAAGAUGCAACUUGACUCAAAGUCAUAAUUAGGGUCAAAUCUAGAAUGAACUCUUACAACAUGACAGUUUCUAAGUGUUUAAGAUAUGACUUCUUUUCCUGUUGUGGCUCAAGGAAAAGGAAUCUGACCAGUAUCCAUGAGGACAUAGAUUCAAAUCUGGCCUUGCUCCAUGGGUUAAGUAUCCAGUGUUGCGUUGCCGUGAAUUGUGAUGUAGGUUGCAGAUGCUGCUUAGAUCCCCUGUUGCUGCGGCUGUGGCUUAGGCUGGCAGCUAUGGAUUUAAUUUGACCCCUACCCUGGGAACCUCCACAAGCUGGGGGUGUGGCCCUAAAAAUACAAAAAAAAAAAAAAAAAAAAAAAAAAGAAAGAAAAAAAAGAAAGAAAAAAGAUAUGGCUUAUUUUAAAUAUGAUCCAGACAUAGAAGAUGUUUUGAAUAGAUGUUUUCCUAAAAUUCUAAAAUUCUGUGCUCAGGAGGUAUCAGGUGCAAGUCUUGUUUCAGUACUUUGGCUUGAGCACCAGCCUUUUCAUGAGUUUGUGACAUCAUACAAAGUUCUGAGUAUGUAUCCUUGCCUAGGUUGGCAGGUACAAAGAAUAUAAUAGUCAUACACUGAUAAAGCCAGAAAAGAUAGACCCAUUUCAUAAAUAAUAGGACAAUUAUUCAAACAAACAAACAUGAAGAAACAGGAGAGUAAGUGAUUUGGUUAAGCACAUGAUGUAAAUUAGUAACUGUGCUAAUUAAUUAAAUAAUGAAAUUCUUGGCAAAGAACAGUGUUCUACCCAGUAAGUCAGAUGAGAUUGUUAAACUACACAUGCAGAAAUGUACACUGCCUUUCUUAAUUUGGUUUAUUUUUCUACACCUUGAUCGCAAUUCAAGGAAUAACAGAGAACAAGGACUGACCACUCUCAGGAGAGGAUCUUGUCUUUGGAGGAUAUGCUUUUGCUAUUCUUUAGCGUAUUUCAGGUUAUUUCCUUAUUCAUGAAUUAUCAGGCAUUAAAAAAAUAAACUCAAUUACUUAAUGGAGAGUUCAGUUGCAUCCAAUCUACCCACCACUCCUUAACAAGCAAAUGGAGUAGCGACAGUAUCUGAAGUGGUUAGUAUCUCAGAAGAUUCUUGGCCUCGGGCCAGGCCAUUUUCACUUAAAAUACAACCAUAAUCAUGCACAUGUUAAAACUCAUUUACUAUGAAACUGAUAUCAGUUUUGAAAUGGGUUAAUACUUGUUUAAGGCGGCGAAAUAUCUCAUAGGCCUUUCUCUACCACCCUCUCUGCCUUCCUCUGCUUAUCUUUAAAUGCUCAAUGUUUGAAAUACACUGAAAGAACAUUUUAUGACAUAGCUUUAAAAUAUACUUUACAGCUAACUUACAAUUAGAAAAAUCUUUGUAUUCUUUCAAAAAAAAAAAAAAAAAAAAAA